RNAcentral lists this long non-coding RNA (1261 nucleotides) under Sorghum bicolor (sorghum). RNAcentral's name for it is "long non-coding RNA (SBIC_LNC018757)". Lineage: Eukaryota; Viridiplantae; Streptophyta; Magnoliopsida; Poales; Poaceae. The record is from RNAcentral.
GCGAUAUUUUGUCAUAUUUUUAGCGAUGUUCUAUCAUCAUUUAGGCACAACCACAUUGAUUUUUUUGGAACUACCGAAUAGGCAAUAGCCUCGUACUCAUACGUUGAGACAGUUUCAAUUCCACAACAUGGAUUGGGUUCACACAUAAAGCACCAAUUAGACAUCGCGCGCAAAUCGCAGUGCUAGAAAAAUGUUUGGGUUCGAUUGAGACGGAGUAAUCAAUCAAUCAGGGCAUAAAGACUGAACCGUUGCAACAAAACUCAGAAAUGAAUCGCACAUGUACUGCAUGACAUACAUCUACCAAAUCAAGAUCAGAUCCAAGUCCAAGUUCAUGUUCAGUUGCUAGACAUACACUGCAACUAUUAUUACAUCAGUUUCAAUUGCAAUAUGCUCUUCAAGCAAGACAGGUGGGCUGUGGGCUGUGGCUGUCGCUGGUGAGCGGCUUGUGCUGGGAAGGAACGAGAGAGGGAGAGCAAUGAGGUCGUUUUCCCGAUCUUCACGAUGAAGGAUAACUAGCUGAAGAUCAGCCGAUAACUUGCUGCAAGCAUCAAGGAUAACUAGUGCAACCUGACGACACGCACAAGGAGCCAACCACCGUCUCUAUACGGCAGCCUGAACCAAGGAUUCGUCCAACCACACUCUCAAAGAACCAACCUACGCAACCUGAACUCGAGGAUCAGGAGCAUGGAUUGGGUGCCGAUGAUGCGGCCACUUCUGUAAUCUCCGCGAAGGAAAACACAAGAGCAAAGGGGUAGAGAUCACUCUCUGAAUUUGUUAGCACGCAGCUGAACAAAGGGGUUCUGUAUUUCAAUUAUCAAAGUCUGUAGAUUACAAUGAGUCUUAGGGGGUAUUUAUACUAGCAACAGCCCUGCUAGAUAGGUAUGAAAACAAAAUAGAGUUUUUGAGGGAAGGCAAUGUGAAAGGUCCCCUCGAAAUGGAUUCCCGAAGUGGCUUCGCGUGACUGUUGGCCUCUAGAGCAGUUUUCAAUAAACUGACCAUAACUUUUUAUUGGGAAGUCCAAAUGAUGAACCGUUUCUUGGGUGUGAAACUAGACUCCAAGACCUUUCAAGCAAUGUAUGGCAUGCACCACGAAACAUUGUAGAUUGGUACAGUUUUACUUGGCAAGUUGUACCAACAUUCUGUCAUGAUAGACUGUUGAUCUUCUGAGCAGUCUGUACUAAUUCUGCUCUGUAGGCAAUAUGGUGUAUCGAAACUGGUCGCCACUAAAUUUAUUGAAUAGUAGACUCGACAAGCUUUCUAA